Molecule: transfer RNA, 73 nt
Filed under: Chloroflexota bacterium
Lineage: Bacteria; Bacillati; Chloroflexota
Description: Chloroflexi bacterium (marine metagenome) tRNA-Lys
Rfam family: tRNA
About the family: Transfer RNA (tRNA) molecules are approximately 80 nucleotides in length. Their secondary structure includes four short double-helical elements and three loops (D, anti-codon, and T loops).
Source: RNAcentral
GGGCCGCUAGCUCAACUGGCAGAGCAACGGACUCUUAAUCCGUGGGUUAUAGGUUCGACUCCUAUGCGGCUCA